This 1043-nucleotide ribosomal RNA is filed under the name Lactiplantibacillus plantarum. Its description in RNAcentral is "bacterial SSU rRNA". It matches the Rfam family "Bacterial small subunit ribosomal RNA", at positions 68 to 1032 of the family's 1533-position model. Lineage: Bacteria; Bacillati; Bacillota; Bacilli; Lactobacillales; Lactobacillaceae. The record is from RNAcentral.
UACCCCCCCUAACCAACAACGUCCUAUCAUGCAGUCGACGACUCUGGUAUUGAUUGGUGCUUGCAUCAUGAUUUACAUUUGAGUGAGUGGCGAACUGGUGAGUAACACGUGGGAAACCUGCCCAGAAGCGGGGGAUAACACCUGGAAACAGAUGCUAAUACCGCAUAACAACUUGGACCGCAUGGUCCGAGUUUGAAAGAUGGCUUCGGCUAUCACUUUUGGAUGGUCCCGCGGCGUAUUAGCUAGAUGGUGAGGUAACGGCUCACCAUGGCAAUGAUACGUAGCCGACCUGAGAGGGUAAUCGGCCACAUUGGGACUGAGACACGGCCCAAACUCCUACGGGAGGCAGCAGUAGGGAAUCUUCCACAAUGGACGAAAGUCUGAUGGAGCAACGCCGCGUGAGUGAAGAAGGGUUUCGGCUCGUAAAACUCUGUUGUUAAAGAAGAACAUAUCUGAGAGUAACUGUUCAGGUAUUGACGGUAUUUAACCAGAAAGCCACGGCUAACUACGUGCCAGCAGCCGCGGUAAUACGUAGGUGGCAAGCGUUGUCCGGAUUUAUUGGGCGUAAAGCGAGCGCAGGCGGUUUUUUAAGUCUGAUGUGAAAGCCUUCGGCUCAACCGAAGAAGUGCAUCGGAAACUGGGAAACUUGAGUGCAGAAGAGGACAGUGGAACUCCAUGUGUAGCGGUGAAAUGCGUAGAUAUAUGGAAGAACACCAGUGGCGAAGCGGCUGUCUGGUCUGUAACUGACGCUGAUGCUCGAAGUAUGGGUAGCAAACAGGGAUUAGAUACCCUGGUAGUCCAUACCGUAAACGAUGAAUGCUAAGUGUUGGAGGGUUUCCGCCCUUCAGUGCUGCAGCUAACGCAUUAAGGCAUUCCGCCUGGGGAGUACGGCCGCAAGGCUGAAACUCAAGGAAUUGACGGGGGCCCGCACAAGCGGUGGGAGCAUGUGGUUUAAUUCGAGCCUACGCGAAGAACCCUUACCAGGUCUUGGACAUACUAUGCCAAUCUUAGAAAAUUAGACGUUCCCUUUCGGGGACCAUUGG